Molecule: non-coding RNA, 28 nt
Filed under: Homo sapiens (human)
Lineage: Eukaryota; Metazoa; Chordata; Mammalia; Primates; Hominidae
Source: RNAcentral
AACCAAGAUUGCACUGGAACAUCCCAUG